GUUUUGGUCUGUGAAUUCGCAUGAAUAGGUUUGGAGUUUGGAUGGAUGGAUAGAUGCGAUGCAUGAGAAUGAGAGAGCAGGCAGUUCCAAGUGGGUUAGGAGUGUAGCAGAAGCAGUAGAGCUGUGCUUUUGUUGUGGAUUUUUAUAACUUUUGACCUUUGGCGUCGAUGAUAGAUGGAGGUAGACUUAUGCACAUUGUGUAUAAACGUAGUCAUCGUUUAAAAAAAAUAACAAUAAAUAACUAAUUCUGAGCGAG
This is a long non-coding RNA of Eupeodes corollae, 256 nucleotides long. RefSeq lists it as uncharacterized. The transcript is spliced from 2 exons. NCBI's taxonomy places the organism in Eukaryota, Metazoa, Arthropoda, Insecta, Diptera, Syrphidae. The record is from RefSeq and is a predicted model, not a curated record.